Molecule: ribosomal RNA, 810 nt
Filed under: Sphaeropsis visci
Lineage: Eukaryota; Fungi; Ascomycota; Dothideomycetes; Botryosphaeriales; Botryosphaeriaceae
Description: partial large subunit ribosomal RNA
Rfam family: Eukaryotic large subunit ribosomal RNA (bases 100-810)
Source: RNAcentral
GGGAGUGUAUAUCCGGGCUGAUGCGACCAGCGGGAGGACGAUCUCGUUCUCGGAUGCUGCGUAAUGAUGUCAUCAUCCGUCGUGAUGCAGAGGAACGAGUAGUCAUCUAGCGAGAGUCGCGUCAACACGUCCGCGAAUGAAAAGAAGGGAGCAGGAACACGCAAGGGCCUCCUUGGGCGGUUCUGAGUUCUUGGAGGAAUUAAUCAGGAGCAUAGCGGUCGGGACCGAAAGGAGUGAAAUAAGGCCGGAUUAGGGGAAGCCGGAGGAAAUUUUGUGGAGGGUUGGAACGGGUUUGGCCUGCAAAAUAUUGUCAAAAUUGGGCUAUGGGGGGGAAGGAUUAUUGGACCCUUUUGGAAGUGGUUUCCGCCGGAAUUUUCCUUCGGAUAACCAGAAGAGUAUUCAGUUUUAGGAGGUAAAGCGAAUGAUUAGAGGCCGGGGGGGUGAAACAGCCUUAACCUAUUCUCAAACUUUAAAUAUGUAGAAGUCCUUGUUGCUUAAUUGAACGUGGGCAUUUGAAUGUAUCGUUACUAGUGGGCCAUUUUUGGUAAGCAGAACUGGCGAUGCGGGAUGAACCGAACGCGAGGUUAAGGUGCCGGAAUGCACGCUCAUCAGACACCACAAAAGGUGUUAGUUCAUCUAGACAGCAGGACGGUGGCCAUGGAAGUCGGAAUCCGCUAAGGAGUGUGUAACAACUCACCUGCCGAAUGAACUAGCCCUGAAAAUGGAUGGCGCUCAAGCGUGCUACCCAUACCUCGCCGUCAGGGUAGAUACGAUGCCCUGGAGGAGUAGGCGGGCGUGGAGGCCCGUGAC